RNAcentral lists this non-coding RNA (146 nucleotides) under Streptomyces murinus. RNAcentral describes it as "SAM". It matches the Rfam family "SAM riboswitch aptamer (S box leader)". Rfam says of the family: The SAM riboswitch is found upstream of a number of genes which code for proteins involved in methionine or cysteine biosynthesis in Gram-positive bacteria. The SAM riboswitch acts at the level of transcription termination control. The predicted structure consists of a complex stem-loop region followed by a single stem loop terminator region. RNAcentral also lists the same sequence under 1 other name. Lineage: Bacteria; Bacillati; Actinomycetota; Actinomycetes; Kitasatosporales; Streptomycetaceae. The record is from RNAcentral.
CGCUCAUCCAGAGGGGCAGAGGGACACGGCCCGAUGAAGCCCCGGCAACCCUCCAGUCGGUUCUCGUUCUCAUCACAGCGAGGCUCCCGGCUAGGGAAGGUGCCAAAUCCGUCUCACGGCGAAGUGCGUCGUGAGGAAGAUGAGGA